CCUACGGGAGGCAGCAGUGAGGAAUAUUGGUCAAUGGGCGCGAGCCUGAACCAGCCAAGUCGCGUGAGGGAAGACGGUCCUAUGGAUUGUAAACCUCUUUUGUCGGGGAGCAAAGCGAACCACGUGUGGUUCAUUGAGAGUACCCGAAGAAAAAGCAUCGGCUAACUCCGUGCCAGCAGCCGCGGUAAUACGGAGGAUGCGAGCGUUAUCCGGAUUUAUUGGGGUUAAAGGGUGCGCAGGCGGAGGUGCAAGUCAGCGGUCAAAUUGCGGGGCUCAACCCCGUACUGCGGUUGAAACUGCAUCCCUUGAGUGCGCGAGAGGUAUGCGGAAUGCGUGGUGUAGCGGUGAAAUGCAUAGAUAUCACGAAGAACACCGGUGGCGAAGGCAGCAUACCGGCGCGCAACUGACGCUCAUGCACGAAAGCGUGGGUAUCGAACAGGAUUAGAUACCCGAGUAGUC
Molecule: ribosomal RNA, 459 nt
Filed under: uncultured bacterium
Lineage: Bacteria
Description: partial 16S ribosomal RNA
Rfam family: Bacterial small subunit ribosomal RNA
Source: RNAcentral